Molecule: ribosomal RNA, 242 nt
Filed under: uncultured bacterium
Lineage: Bacteria
Description: partial 16S ribosomal RNA
Rfam family: Bacterial small subunit ribosomal RNA
Source: RNAcentral
UGGGUAACCUGCCUCAAAGAGGGGAAUAGCCUCCCGAAAAGGGAGAUUAAUACCGCAUAAUAUGUUUUAAUCGCAUGAUUUUAACAUCAAAGGAUUUUCUUCGGAACUUCCACUUUGAGAUGGACCCGCGGCGCAUUAGCUAGUUGGUGAGGUAACGGCUCACCAAGGCAACAAUGCGUAGCCGACCUGAGAGGGUGAUCGGCCACAUUGGAACUGAGACACGGUCCAGACUCCGUAGGGAG